UACAGAGGGUGCGAGCGUUAAUCGGAAUUACUGGGCGUAAAGCGUGCGUAGACGGUUGCGUAAGUCAGAUGUGAAAGCCCCGGGCUCAACCUGGGAAUUGCAUUUGAGACUGCACGGCUAGAGUGUGUCAGAGGGGGGUAGAAUUCCACGUGUAGCAGUGAAAUGCGUAGAGAUGUGGAGGAAUACCGAUGGCGAAGGCAGCCCCCUGGGAUAACACUGACGCUCAUGCACGAAAGCGUGGGGAGCAAACAGG
RNAcentral lists this ribosomal RNA (253 nucleotides) under uncultured bacterium. RNAcentral's name for it is "partial 16S ribosomal RNA". It matches the Rfam family "Bacterial small subunit ribosomal RNA", at positions 524 to 776 of the family's 1533-position model. The record is from RNAcentral.